UUGAUGAAUUUGCUAUUUGUGUUAUCC
RNAcentral lists this small RNA (27 nucleotides) under Bombyx mori (domestic silkworm). Its description in RNAcentral is "ovarian small RNA-37743". The record is from RNAcentral. Lineage: Eukaryota; Metazoa; Arthropoda; Insecta; Lepidoptera; Bombycidae.